CAGCCCUUGACAUGUCCCGUAUGGGGUCGAGAGAUCGGCUUCUUCAGUUCGGCUGGCGGGAACACAGGUGCUGCAUGGCUGUCGUCAGCUCGUGUCGUGAGAUGUUGGGUUAAGUCCCGCAACGAGCGCAACCCUCAUCUUCAGUUGCCAUCGGGUCACGCCGGGCACUCUGAAGGAACUGCCGGUGACAAGCCGGAGGAAGGCGGGGAUGACGUCAAGUCCUCAUGGCCUUUAUGGGCUGGGCUACACACGUGCUACAAUGGCGGUGACAGAGGGAUGCGAAGGGGCGACCCUUGGCCAAUCUCGAAAAGCCGUCUCAGUUCGGAUUGUUCUCUGCAACUCGAGAGCAUGAAGCUGGAAUCGCUAGUAAUCGCGGAUCAGCAUGCCGCGGUGAAUA
Molecule: ribosomal RNA, 397 nt
Filed under: uncultured bacterium
Lineage: Bacteria
Description: bacterial SSU rRNA
Rfam family: Bacterial small subunit ribosomal RNA
Source: RNAcentral